AGUGAACGCUGGCGGUAGGCCUAACACAUGCAAGUCGAACGGCAGCACAGUAAGAGCUUGCUCUUACGGGUGGCGAGUGGCGGACGGGUGAGGAAUACAUCGGAAUCUACUUUUUCGUGGGGGAUGACGUAGGGAAACUUACGCUAAUACCGCAUACGACCUACGGGUGAAAGCAGGGGAUCUUCGGACCUUGCGCGAUUGAAUGAGCCGAUGUCGGAUUAGCUAGUUGGCGGGGUAAAGGCCCACCAAGGCGACGAUCCGUAGCUGGUCUGAGAGGAUGAUCAGCCACACUGGAACUGAGACACGGUCCAGACUCCUACGGGAGGCAGCAGUGGGGAAUAUUGGACAAUGGGCGCAAGCCUGAUCCAGCCAUACCGCGUGGGUGAAGAAGGCCUUCGGGUUGUAAAGCCCUUUUGUUGGGAAAGAAAAGCAGCAGGUUAAUACCCCGCUGUUCUGACGGUUCCCAAAGAAUAAGCACCGGCUAACUUCGUG
This 492-nucleotide ribosomal RNA is filed under the name uncultured bacterium. Its description in RNAcentral is "partial 16S ribosomal RNA". It matches the Rfam family "Bacterial small subunit ribosomal RNA", at positions 29 to 507 of the family's 1533-position model. The record is from RNAcentral.